UUUCCGGUUGAUCCUGCCGGAGGUUACUGCUAUCGGGGUCCGAUUAAGCCAUGCGAGUUGAGAGGGGUAAGCCCUCGGCAUACUGCUCAGUAACACGCGGACAACCUGCCCUUGGGUCUGGGAUAACCCCGGGAAACUGGGACUAAUACCGGAUAGAUCAGAGAUACUGGAAUGUUCUCUGGUCCAAAACUCCGGUGCCCAAGGAUGGGUCUGCGCGGCCUAUCAGGUAGUAGUGGGUGUAACGUACCUACUAGCCAGCGACGGGUAAGGGUUGUGAGAGCAAGAUCCCUGAGAUGGAUUCUGAGACAUGAAUCCAGGCCCUACGGGGUGCAGCAGGCGCGAAAACUUUACACUGCGGGAAACCGCGAUAAGGGGACCCCGAGUCCAGCACCUAGUGCUGGCUGUCCCUACUGUCUAAAUAACAGUGGUUAGCAAGGGCCGGGCAAGACCGGUGCCAGCCGCCGCGGUAACACCGGCGGUGCGAGUGGUAACCGUCAUUAUUGGGUUUAAAGGGUCCGUAGCCGGCUUAUUAAGUCUUUUGGGAAAUCUGGCGACUCAAUCGUCAGGCGUCCAAGAGAUACUGGUAGGCUUGGGACCGGGAGAGGUGGGAGGUACUCCAGAGGUAGGGGUGAAAUCUCGUAAUCCUUGGGGGGACCACCGAUGGCGAAGGCAUCCCACCAGAACGGGUCCGACGGUGAGGGACGAAAGCUGGGGGCACGAACCGGAUUAGAUACCCGGGUAGUCCCAGCUGUAAACGAUGCUCGCUAGGUGUCAGGUGCGGUGCGACCGCAUCUGGUGCCGCAGCGAAAACUUGAAGCGAGUCACCUGGGAAGUACGGUCGCAAGGCUGAAACUUAAAGGAAUUGGCGGG
This 870-nucleotide ribosomal RNA is filed under the name uncultured methanogenic archaeon. RNAcentral describes it as "bacterial SSU rRNA". It matches the Rfam family "Archaeal small subunit ribosomal RNA", at positions 1 to 872 of the family's 1478-position model. Lineage: Archaea; Methanobacteriati; Methanobacteriota. The record is from RNAcentral.